UGCUGCGGGAGGGACCGGGCGCCGCGGCGGCGAGCGGAGCCCGGCAGCAGCCGCCAGCCCCGGGGUAUGCGGAUAAGCGGGAGAGGAGCGCGGAGGAAGGCGAAGAGCGGCGGGGAGCGGGGCGAGGGAGCCCGGCCGAGCCCUCCCGAGCGGCGGAGGAUGCGCCGAGCCCCGGGGAGCCGAACCCAGCUGCAGCGCGGCGCGUCCCUCCCGGCCGCCGCCCAAGCCCGCGGAGCCCCCUGUGCCCGGGAGCCAUGAGCUGCCCUCAGCCCCCGCUGAACCGCCGGAGCAGCCCCCCGGCCGCAGCCCCCUGGCACUGUUAGGCUCCCCUGCUCCCCUGGAAGGUGCCCAUUGCUGACGAGGAGAACCUGCUGCGCCCACACCCAGCCUCCUGCAUCCCUCCCAAGGUUUCUUGCCUUGCCAGCAGGUCCUUGUAGGAUUUUGGCUCUGGGCUGUGUGUCUGAGGCUGAGCCAGGUGCCCCCCUGCUCCGUGCCGGGUCCCAUGAGACAGGCAGGGCCACCCUGUCCUUCCCUCCCGGGGCCACAGCACCCCCCUCUGCCCCCGCUGCACGGGACGCCUCUCCAGCACCCCAAACGAAGCUGCAGAGCUCUGCUGCCACGUGCAUGAGUGGAAAGCAGAGGAGAGGCCAAAGCCCAGUGUGCCCCUGGCAUCCGAUCCCCCAACAUCCUGCCUUCAUCUGACCCAGGUGCUCUGUGUGGAUUGGACUCUGGGAAAAGCUGUGCGAGAAGGAUGCUUGGUCGCAGGAGCUCCCACUGUGCCAGGGCUGACAGAGCAAGUGGAGAGCCCAUGGAAAUAGCAGUUUUCUGUCAAAACACCUUUUCAACAGCAAGCCCUGAAGUGCGUUUAUUCUUAGCGAUCUUUUAUUAAACCAAAAUUCUGCUGGGAAAUGAUCCUGCUGGUUAAAGUCCUCCCUGAAAAUACAAGUACUGAGAGCCAUCUGGUCUGUGUUUGGAAUCGUGUAUUUUCUUCCAGAGUGCUAUUUGGAAAAAAACUGAAGAUUUUUUCCUAGGAACAGUAUUUAGAAAAGGAGGUGGUUUUGUUUUUUUUCUUCUGCUUUUUCCUUUGAGACAAGAAGUUAUUUCCUAGGGAAUUGGAGGUAACAGAGUAGUGUAAAGUAAGACACACAGGUAUCCCCAGAAAUGCCAAGGCAGAGGAAAGAAUUCCAAAGUUUAUUUAGAAGGCCAGAACAUGAGAAACUUAAAAAUACCUCACAGUGCUUACUGAAGCACUGGGCCCCAGGGAGAAAAGGCAGGUUCCAGCCCUCUCCAGGGCCUCUUUUUCCUCUCUCUUUUUCCCCUGCCUUCCCGAGGCUCUGUAUGUGUCCUGGAGGGAAGCGUGAUGUGGUGCUGGGAGCAGGGAUCUCAGCCUGAGCAUCCAGUAGGCACAUAAGCCCUCUCCCCAAGGAGCCUGCAAACCUUGGGGCUGGAUGAUGUGGUCAGAGGCUUUAUUUAGUUCUGAGGCAGGGCUGAGCCUGAGUGGAUUUUUAAUGCAUGAAUUUUUAGUGUUUAAACUGAGCAGAUCUUUGAACUGCUGUGGUUUCUGAGGGAUGUUUCUCUUCCUCUCUGAAUGUGUGUGCCAUAAAUGCUCCAAAAAAAUCCUCCCUGUCCUCUCCAGUGUUGUUAGCUCUAGUGAUGUGGACAGAAACUUGCAGGAUGGUUUCCACUAAGACUCUGUGGAGUGGCUUGGAGUUUCCCCAUUGAAAAGCAAGUUUUCAGCAUCAAGGUUACUUCAAAAGGCUGGGGAGGGCAGGUCUCAUGUAGGGGUGUCAGCAGUGUUGGGGCUGUCCCCAGGAAAGGUGCGAGGGACAGUGGGGACUCCAGGGCCACUCUUGUCUUCAGCUGGCCCAGAUGCUGUGGUUAAACAGGGUGGCUGGAAGGGCUGAGAAAGAACCAGGCUGGAGGAAGGAAUGUCACAGAGGGAGAGGUGUCUGUGGCCUCCUUUAGAAGGCCACUUUCUUCAGCUCAGCAUUGCCAAGAAAAGCCCUGAAUUUCUAUUCCAUGCCUUACCUGGUUUCUACCUGGCUCUCUGGGUUAAACCAGGUUUCUUUCCAAACAUCUCACUCCGAGGGCUGACAAAACUAUCGACAGAUUUUUGGUUUCAAAAACAUUAAUUGUUAAAAAUGUUAAUUGUGCAAAUGACUACCAAGCCAGGCAGGGAGCCAGGCUGCACCACCAUAGGGUGGCACCACAAGUGCAUCUGCUGGGCUGAGGGGCAAACCUGGGAGCCACCACCACGGUCCAGCAGCUCUGCAGAGCCGCAUGAUGGGAUUUCACGCAGGGUGCCUUGAUGUUCUAGGCUUUCCAGUACCUGUGAGCUUUCGUUGGGGCCACCAGGGACUAUUUGUCACAGGAAUCUGGGCCCUGUGUUAGUGAGAUGCGGCGGCUUUUGAGGUUUUCCAGCAGUGGAACCAGAUCUUCCCUGUCUUGGGAUGGGAGAUUGUACCAUGCACAUACAGCUUUGGGAUGUCACAUCAAUGUUAACGACGGGGAAGAAGGGAGAGCAGAGCUGGGUGUGCGUGGCAGUUUGUUUCCUUAGGUUUAUGCACUGAUACUUUCUGCUUAAUUGCACUCUGACAUGCAUCAAGGGGCAGUGAGGGGUUUUAAAAAAGCUUUUUUUUACCAAAAAAAAAAAAAAAAUACGGUCCCUGAAAUACUCAGGAUGGGCUGACUGCUUUUUAAAAAACUGCUAUAAUUACGAGUGCAAGGCUUCCAGUUCUCCUGGUCUCAUUGCACCUGGAGAGAGGCAGAAGGAGUGUUUGUCCUGCUUAGCACAGAGGGGCUGGGAGGUGAUCACUGCAUGGAUCCUUGGAGAUGGAUGUGUUGGGAGUCAGAGGGCUUGUUCCCACGAAUGGGAACGGGUGGUGGACUGAGGGCUUGGAAGGGAAUGGAGGCAAUUUAGUGAUGUAUUAGGGUGUACUCAGAACGAUGAAAAUGUCCCUGGUGCACCCCACAGCUCCCUCCUGAGUGUGUCCUGCCUCCCAUGGCUGUGGGGAAUCCAGAGGUGGGUCGGGGCCAUGGGGAGCCCAUGUCUUGCCUGUAGAGAGGGGCUGCUCCAGGAAGUGUCUCCCAAGACUGUCAGGCGUGAUCCAAAAUUAACAUCUCAUUCACUUGCUCUUAGCUCUGUUAGCUCUGCGAGGCUAAUAGGGCUUAAUAAAAAAGGCCUCUUGUCACCAAAAUCAGCAAGGCUGACUCAGAACAUGCAGAGGGAGCAGACUUGCUGAUGGAGGCAAUGUUGAUGUUGCAAGCACUCACCCGGCCACAGCAGGGCCGUGGGACUUGCCCAGGAAUCCCUGUCAGAGCCUCUGAGGGGUCCUUGGUUCCCAUCUUGGUGGGUGAACCACUGGGUGAGGGGGAUGAAGGCGUGAGCAUCGAACCCAGCCAAGCUGUGGAGCGUUCCCAGUGCUGUGCCGUGUUCCACAAUUAAUCACUUCCACCCACACUACACCUUUCCCCUCCCCUAGAUCCUCCCUCGCCUGGCUCUGGAGUGGGGAACGGAGGCAGCUCCAGUUUUAUGAAUCAAUCAAAGACAAUGCCUGCUUUGGAGAGCUGCUGAUUUAGAGAGCCCUUUGCAAGCAUGUGUGCAGUAUGAUUUCUUAUCGUAGCACAGCUCUGGAUGAGCCUGCCAAGAGGAGCUGUUCCAGCUCCUGGCCACAUCCUGGGGAGAUGGCCUGAGUGGUCCUUUCAUCUGCAAAUAAAACAAACAGGAACAAAGAAGGCAAUAAUAUUGACUUUCAUUAUUGAUAUUUCCAUUUAUCUCAGUAAUAAUUAGUGUUUCUGUAGCUGGGAGGGUAUAGCUCAUAAUCUCACUGUUUCAGGGGAGCCUAUUAAUGUCAUCACCAAAACCAACCAGGCAUAAAGCACUGGACAAGU
Molecule: RNA transcript, 3891 nt
Organism: Myiozetetes cayanensis
Lineage: Eukaryota; Metazoa; Chordata; Aves; Passeriformes; Tyrannidae
Gene: LINGO1
Gene name: leucine rich repeat and Ig domain containing 1
Exons: 6
Source: RefSeq, a predicted model, not a curated record